AGAAAGAAGACCCUUUAAUUGAUUUUGUUCCAGACCCAACUGGCUCUCCGUUGUCAAGAGUUGUGCUGUUGCGGCCUCCAACUCAGGAGCAUAGUCAUUCCUAGAAAAGAAUGAUGACUGUAGAUCUGAAACUGGGUUGCAGUCCAUGAGCUGGCAGAGGCGGCCAUGCUCUUGGGAGAAACAGCAGAGGCCUCGGGCUUCAGGCCGAAGCCAGCAGAGUCCCAGCCAGUGGGAAUGUCCCCGGAGGAAGAAUUUGGGGGUGUACAGCAGGGCCUACAGGAACCGCUGAGCGGGAGCAGGCCCACAGAGACGGAGCCCGUGUGUGAGAGUGCUGUGCCUGCUCACCAGAAUCUAGCCUUUCCUGUAGUGUCAAACACCAAAGACUGGACAGUGACACCUGAGCUCAUCUUGCCUGAGGCCCAGAGCUUGUUGACAUUUGAAGAAGUAGCCAUAUAUUUUUCCCAGGAGGAAUGGGAGCUACUAGAUCCCACUCAGAAGGCCCUCUACAAUGAUGUAAUGCAUGAAAACUAUGAGACUGUCAUCUCUCUAGCAUUGUUUGUGUUCCCCAAACCUAAAGUGAUCUCCUGCUUAGAGCGUGAGGAAGUGCCGUGGAUUCAAGGGUCCCCACAGUUCAAGGACGAUAGCAGAGAUGUGCUUCCAGAGAUAAUGCUGAAAAAUGACCCUGAAGAUCAUCAAGCUAUGUAUCUUUCUGACUUAGAAAUACAAGCACCAGGAAAUGCAGUAUCAAAAAAAGCUAGAGCAGAUGUUCCCCAGAAAACAGCGGGCAGAGAAACUCAUGGUGAUGUACAUAGGUUGGGGAAAUGGCACCAAGAUUUUCCAGUGAAGGAAGGAAAGAAUCUCUCAAACUGGUGGGAAGAAGAGCUGCUGAAACUUAUGGAGCUUCACAAGAAGGAACGUGCAGGGGAGAAGCCUUUUAAAUGCCAGGAAUGUGGGAAAAGCUUCAGAGUUAGCUCUGACCUUAUUAAACACCAAAGAAUUCACACCGAAGAAAAACCGUAUAAAUGUCAGUAGUGUGAUAAGAGGUUUAGGUGGAGGUCAGAUCUUAAUAAGCACCUAACAACACACCAAGGAAUAAAACCAUAUAAGUGCUCAUGGUGUGGGAAAAGCUUCAGUCAAAAUUCACAUCUCCACACACACCAGAGAACUCACACUGGAGAGAAGCCCUUUACAUGUCACGAAUGUGGGAAGAAAUUUAGUCAGAAUUCGCACCUUAUUAAACACCGGAGGACCCACCUGUAGCCCUGCAGGAGGAGCUUCAUUGUGUUCUCAGGACUUCUUCGAUGGCAGAAACUUUGACAGCAGUGAAGGACGCAUGACCAGUGGCCUGAGACUGAAUAGAUAAUGAAACAGUUGACACUAAAGUUAUGAAAAACACAAAGUUACAAAGCAUGAAGAAUUUACACCAGUGGGAAAUUUGGUGAUAGAAGCAUGUUUCACAAAAAAGAAUCAGGGUUGACUGUGGCGGGGAAAGAUAACAACUCUAAAACCUGGAUGGAGUAGAUCUGUGACAGCAGCAGGGAUCUGGAGGAGAGCACCAGAACUCAAAGUACCAUGGGACUAAUGACUUACAGAAAAGCUGGAAGCAUGAUGUAAAGGACUUUGACCUGCUAGAUCGUCUGAGAGGAAGCAGACAAAACAACACGCUAUCUCCCCCAAAUAUCCAUUGAAGCCAAGACGAGAUGAGCAGCAGGACGGUGAGGAGGAUGGAGCAGAUGGUGGUGAAAGCGGGGAAUCGUCCAAAAUGAAGUCGGUGAUGAGCCGAGCAGGGUCUAGCCCAGGACCCCAGAAGCGCUGGGCCGCUCCUAAGCUGACUGGUAAGGCAGCCCCUGAGAGAAGGGGCAGAGAUGAGGUAAAGAGGAAAGCACGUGCAGCAGGAGGCCUGCAGGGCCCAGCUCUGGUAUUGGCUGUGACCACCCAUCCACCACCUCGGGCUGAGGAACCACAACAGGUGUGUGAAAAGGGUGACGGUCUCUAGGCCUUGACCAGUUUCUCUGGGUUGUGUAUGUGUUUGAUCCAUUCUAUGGAGGUGGUUAGGAAUCCUUGGGGGGAAAAUAGGUCCAUUGAAAAAUUGUAUCAAUUAGCUAUAAUGUUUCAGUGAUGAAGGGAGGUUUACACACCCAUGGACAGCCCCAAGGUUAAAUGUACAGGGGAAGACUGCCUUUUAAUAGAUGCCUGAAGGACUGCAAUAAACCAGAGGUCUAA
This 2223-nucleotide long non-coding RNA is filed under the name Sus scrofa (pig). Its description in RNAcentral is "lncRNA (ENSSSCG00015007467.1)". The record is from RNAcentral. Lineage: Eukaryota; Metazoa; Chordata; Mammalia; Artiodactyla; Suidae.